GACGAACCGUGCGAACGUUGUUCGGAAUCACUGGGCGUAAAGCGCACGUAGGCGGAUCGAUCAGUCAGGGGUGAAAUCCCAGGGCUCAACCCUGGAACUGCCUUUGAUACUGUCGAUCUGGAGUAUGGAAGAGGUGAGUGGAAUUCCGAGUGUAGAGGUGAAAUUCGUAGAUAUUCGGAGGAACACCAGUGGCGAAGGCGGCUCACUGGUCCAUUACUGACGCUGAGGUGCGAAAGCGUGGGGAGCAAACAGG
Molecule: ribosomal RNA, 253 nt
Filed under: uncultured bacterium
Lineage: Bacteria
Description: partial 16S ribosomal RNA
Rfam family: Bacterial small subunit ribosomal RNA
Source: RNAcentral